Long non-coding RNA from Gorilla gorilla gorilla (western lowland gorilla), 718 nucleotides. RefSeq lists it as uncharacterized. The transcript is spliced from 4 exons. NCBI's taxonomy places the organism in Eukaryota, Metazoa, Chordata, Mammalia, Primates, Hominidae. The record is from RefSeq and is a predicted model, not a curated record.
GCUUCCAUAUCUAAAUAACAGACAGAAGCAAUCGCCACACGCUCGCGAUCGCUGCGAGCUCCGCUCGCCCGCCCUCGGCCAGGAAGCAGGAGCACUACGCCUGCGCAAGAGGACGGCGGCCGCCCUGGAGCAAAGAGGGUCGUGGUCAGAAAGAAGUUGGGAGGCUUCCAGUACCAGACAAAAUGGAGUAAGGCACUGCAGUCUCUGCCACUGAUCACAACUAAAAAUUCUGGACAAAAUGUAACUAAGGACUCCGAAAAGUAAACAAGCAGCCAAAUUAUGGAAGGGAAUCAAAGCUUGAAGAAAAUAUCUGUAUGGGUACCAGAAUCCUUUUAGCCAGGCAUAUGUCUGCCUGAAAUGGACUCAUCUUCCCAACCUCUCCUGCAACUAGGUGCAACCUACCAUGGACUAAGUUCUGCUGUGAGUUGUAGGAGGAGGUACAAUGGGGCACCUUCCUGGAACCUUCCUUACAACACUGCUGGCACAUUUCCUUUUUCUUCUUUGUCACCUCUUUAAUUCAUCCUGUGGCUUGGAAAGUUGGUGUAAAAAUAGCUGGAGUGCUGGCUACCAUCCUGACCAUGAAGACCUAGGGAGGGAGUCCAGUUUCCACAGUACCUUUCACAGAUGGAUGUCGGGUAAGUGUUUGCUGGUUGAUCCUCUGCUGAUGCCCUGCUCACCUCACAGAAGGCCUGACCGCACACCUACUAGUAUCAGCAAG